UCAUUUUAGGCUAUUCUGUUU
RNAcentral lists this non-coding RNA (21 nucleotides) under Caenorhabditis elegans. Lineage: Eukaryota; Metazoa; Nematoda; Chromadorea; Rhabditida; Rhabditidae. The record is from RNAcentral.